This 2551-nucleotide long non-coding RNA is filed under the name Sus scrofa (pig). Its description in RNAcentral is "lncRNA (ENSSSCG00035060810.1)". Lineage: Eukaryota; Metazoa; Chordata; Mammalia; Artiodactyla; Suidae. The record is from RNAcentral.
GGAACAUCGGAUUACUCAUCUGGUGGCAGGUGGGUGUCGGAGCUGGCUGUGGACCCCACCGUCUGUAGCCAGUCCGCAGCAGCUUUCCUCUCUGGCAAACUCACAGCAAGCAUGCAGGGUGAUAAAACGGCAGUGACAAAUCCAGUGCAAUCAGGUGGGAAAUCCCCCCUGAGUAAUAACACCUCCUCAUCGCUCAUCCCGACCUCUUCCCCUGAGCCCCGCGUCUGCCGCUGAGAACUCAGCGCUGUUUUACCUUCAGCCCUGAGCUCCGCACAGGAAAAAGAAGAGAAAAGUGAGACACGGGAGUCUGGAGGAUCUCAAUCAAUGGUCAGAAAGGAGUACCCAGAAUGUCUACUGAUUGCCUCACUCCACGCAGAAUAUGCAACAUUCAUCCUUUCUCUAUCGCACCCUCCCUGCAUCUCCCAUCAUUCUUGACUCAGAGAAGAAGGCGUCAAGCAUCCUUUCAAGUACCUUCCCCAGGGUUGUCAUCAACUUAACUCCUCUUCAGUUUCCACUGCUACUAGUAAAGUAAUCAUGAUUUACGAAGAAUCCAUGGAAAAAUUUUGCAUCUAUUAAUUAUCUGACUUAAUCUUUACCAGAUCGUUAUUAAGCAAGAAUUACUAUUACCCUGAUUUUCACAGAUGAGGAAAUUGAGGAUAAGGAAAUUUAGGAACCUGCCUAGAGUUACACAACAAGGAAGUUGCAGAGGGGAGGGUUUUUGCCAAGGUUUCUAUGAUUCCAAUGUUAUCACUUUUCUAAUGCAUCUGCUGACCGAGACUGAAGAAUCAACUACCUCCUCCAGAAGGUCAGUUACCCAAGAAAUCUCUGGGACUGAGGAGAACGGGGGAACAGGAGACAGAUCGGAGAGGCUGGGACAUGGAGAUUUGCUUCAUAUGCAAAGAACUCAUCUCCUAGAAUUUUGCAGCAUCUUCCAGAGUCUAAGCUUGUGUUUUGACGUGCCCUUUCCAAGACAAGGGGAUACGUGAAGCUCAGUGAAUCAGGAGCGUUUACGGAGGAGAAAGAAAAUAAGAUCUUCUCCCCAGCUAAAAAUCCAGGCAUUGUCCUUGGCUGGAAAACCUCUCUUGGAUUGUAUGGACAGACUGAAAAUACAUCUUAGCAUCCAAACAUAGACAGCCAGGGCAUGGACUCAGGCUUGAUGCCCAAAGAGAUCCUCAUCAUCAUACCUUAGAAGUACCACAUCCUUUGUUCUUCCUGGCUAAACCCCUUCAGCCAACAUCCCUGCCUGCAGGGUAAGCAAUUUACUUACAGUUAAACUGCUAAUAAGUAGGGAAUCAUGGAUCAAUCAGAAACACUAAAUAUUUCAAAAUAUUUAGGGUCAAUAUUUCAAAAAACAUUGCAACAUUUGUACAUUUACCUGCUACAAGUUUGCAUGGGCAGGAACCAUAUCAAGUCCAUUAAAAUUCCUGAUUUCCUUAUGUCUAGCAAAAUCUUUGAUCACUAGUUAUGUAUAUUUCAGUUAAUAAAAAUGAAGAGCAUGAGUACUCUUCCAUAAGAAAUGCAGCGUGUUGGGAUAUACAGAAUUUUGCAAAACAGAGUAGAAUGGGGAUGGUUAUCAUAACACAGUGGGCCCAUCAGUGUAGUGGAGUUCAACAUUUUUGAUUCCUUCCAAAUUUCCAGAUUUCAUCUUUGAUGUUGGGAAUGUAAAGACUGAUAUAGCACAAUCAUGGUCCUCCAGAAAUGUAUCAGAUUGUUGGGGAAACAAAUAGAUGCAGAAAUAGUUAUCUGCGUGAUACAGCAAAUACAAACAUGUGCAAGAUGCUCCAAGGAUGUAGAAAGAGAAGCCCUGGUUGGGCUUGUGUGGAGGAGAUGUGGGAAAGGGGGCUUUCUCAAGGAAGCGAUGUCUGAACUCAGACGUGAAGGAACAGCAGAGCUUACCCUCCCCACAGGAGGUUGUACUGUACAGCAUGAGCAAAGAAAGGAGGAAGGUGUAAAGACAUUACCUUUGGUGCAAAGAUUGGCAUAGCUGUCCCACAACCUAUUUGAAUUAACAUUUGUCAAUGAGACACCAACAUCAAAUGCUAUCACUGACAUGUGGAAUCUAAAAAAAGGACACAAUGAACUUCUUUGCAGAACAGAUACUGACUCACAGACUUUGAAAAACUUACGGUUUCCAAAUGAGACAGGUUAGCGGGUGGGGGGAUGCACUGAGGGUUUGGGAUGGAAAUGCUGUAAAAUUUGGUUGUGAUGAUUGUUGUACACCUAUAAAUGUAAUAAAAUUCAUUAAGUAAUAAAAAAGGAAAAAAAACUUUACAAUGAUAUAUAAAAAAUAAUAAUGUUUAUCAUGGUAGGUCUCCAUGCAUUAAGAAUUUACUGAGAGGCUAUUCUAUGCCAAGCCUAACAGUGGGCACCCAGGGUGGAUAGCUCAAAUGUCAUGUCUCCAAAAAUCCACAUUUCAGGAGAGAAAACGAUGCAACACUGUGCAAUGAGCUUGAAAGACCUCACCCAUAAUACAUGCUGGACCAGGAGCUUUAUUUGGUAGAAAUGCUUUGAAAAUAUUUUUUUUUGUUUUUAUCUUGCCACUGGAUGUGUC